RNAcentral lists this long non-coding RNA (450 nucleotides) under Homo sapiens (human). RNAcentral describes it as "HSALNT0323745". The record is from RNAcentral. Lineage: Eukaryota; Metazoa; Chordata; Mammalia; Primates; Hominidae.
CUUGGGGCUUGGUCUGCAGUAGGAGACAAUUAUUCUGCAAUCUUCCUGGUCCUGCCAUUAAUUUAUUUAAGUCCUGGAAGAAUACUUAAAUUGGUCUCAAGUUCCAUCAGCAAGAUGGGACGACUCCAUUGAAAAGAAACAUAAUAUAUGGAAAAAUUACUAGAAAAUCUAGGAAAACUGACUGAAUGCUUUGGAAAGACACAGUCAAGAUUAAAAAAAAUGUGUCACAAGAAAGUUUACAGAACCUACUCAAACUCAAAGAGAAAUCAGAGACUAAAUUCUCAAAACUGGAAGCUCCCUACAGCAUCCACACUCUUCAGCCUUGUACUAUGUGAUGUGUAUUACGAAUGGAGCCACCGGCAGUAUUUGUAUGAACAUGAGACAAUGUGUGGCAGAUGCUUGGUGCUUUGUAAUAUUUAGUAAAAUAAAACAAUAAUAAUGUAACUAUAA